CACGUAGGGCGCAAGCGUUGUCCGGAAUUAUUGGGCGUAAAGAGCUCGUAGGCGGUCUGUUGCGUCCGCUGUGAAAACUCGGGGCUUAACCCCGAGCCUGCAGUGGAUACGGGCAGACUAGAGGUAGGUAGGGGAGAAUGGAAUUCCCGGUGUAGCGGUGAAAUGCGUAGAUAUCGGGAAGAACACCAAAGGCGAAAGCACUUUGCUGGGCCGAAAACUGACACUGAUAGACGAAAGCUAGGGGAGCAAAUGGG
Molecule: ribosomal RNA, 254 nt
Filed under: uncultured bacterium
Lineage: Bacteria
Description: partial 16S ribosomal RNA
Rfam family: Bacterial small subunit ribosomal RNA
Source: RNAcentral